GUGCCAGCAGCCGCGGUAAUACGUAGGGUGCAAGCGUUAAUCGGAAUUACUGGGCGUAAAGCGUGCGCAGGCGGUUUUGUAAGUCUGUCGUGAAAGCCCCGGGCUCAACCUGGGAAUUGCGAUGGAGACUGCAAGGCUUGAAUCUGGCAGAGGGGGGUAGAAUUCCACGUGUAGCAGUGAAAUGCGUAGAGAUGUGGAGGAACACCGAUGGCGAAGGCAGCCCCCUGGGUCAAGAUUGACGCUCAUGCACGAAAGCGUGGGGAGCAAACAGGAUUAGAU
RNAcentral lists this ribosomal RNA (279 nucleotides) under uncultured Burkholderiales bacterium. RNAcentral's name for it is "partial 16S ribosomal RNA". It matches the Rfam family "Bacterial small subunit ribosomal RNA", at positions 505 to 783 of the family's 1533-position model. Lineage: Bacteria; Pseudomonadati; Pseudomonadota; Betaproteobacteria; Burkholderiales. The record is from RNAcentral.